AACGGCCAUACCAUGCUGAAUAUACCGGUUCUCGUUAGAUCACCGAAGUCAAGCAUCAUUGGGCGCGGUCAGUACUUGGGUGGGUGACCACCUAGGGGAACACCGCGUGCCGU
RNAcentral lists this ribosomal RNA (113 nucleotides) under Caerostris darwini. The record is from RNAcentral. Lineage: Eukaryota; Metazoa; Arthropoda; Arachnida; Araneae; Araneidae.